GGGAAACUCACCAGGUCCAGACAUAAUAAGGGUUGACAGAUUGAUAGCUCUUUCUUGAUUUUAUGGGUGGUGGUGCAUGGCCGUUCUUAGUUCGUGGAGUGAUUUGUCUGCUUAAUUGCGUUAACGAACGAGACCUUAACCUGCUAAAUAGGACGACCUAUCUCCGGAUAAGUUGCUUUCUUCUUAGAGGGACUUUAUGCGUUUCAGCAUGAGGAAGUUUGAGGCUAAAA
RNAcentral lists this ribosomal RNA (230 nucleotides) under uncultured eukaryote. Its description in RNAcentral is "partial 18S ribosomal RNA". It matches the Rfam family "Eukaryotic small subunit ribosomal RNA", at positions 1208 to 1456 of the family's 1831-position model. The record is from RNAcentral.